Molecule: ribosomal RNA, 254 nt
Filed under: uncultured bacterium
Lineage: Bacteria
Description: partial 16S ribosomal RNA
Rfam family: Bacterial small subunit ribosomal RNA
Source: RNAcentral
UACGAAGGGGGCUAGCGUUGCUCGGAAUUACUGGGCGUAAAGCGCACGUAGGCGGCUUUCUAAGUCGGGGGUGAAAUCCUGGAGCUCAACUCCAGAACUGCCUUCGAUACUGGAGAGCUUGAGUCCGGGAGAGGUGAGUGGAACUGCGAGUGUAGAGGUGAAAUUCGUAGAUAUUCGCAAGAACACCAGUGGCGAAGGCGGCUCACUGGCCCGAUACUGACGCUGAGGUGCGAAAGCGUGGGGGAGCAAACAGG